Molecule: transfer RNA, 96 nt
Filed under: Aureobasidium pullulans
Lineage: Eukaryota; Fungi; Ascomycota; Dothideomycetes; Dothideales; Saccotheciaceae
Also listed under: 1 other name
Description: tRNA-Glu
Rfam family: tRNA
About the family: Transfer RNA (tRNA) molecules are approximately 80 nucleotides in length.
Source: RNAcentral
UCCGGUGUGGUCUAACGGCUAGGAUUUCUCGCUUUCACUGUUUGCAAUGCGAAUAGAGCACCCGAGGAGGUCGGGGUUCGAUUCCCCGCACCGGAA